This 296-nucleotide ribosomal RNA is filed under the name uncultured Bradyrhizobiaceae bacterium. Its description in RNAcentral is "partial 16S ribosomal RNA". The stretch from base 30 to 288 matches the Rfam family "Bacterial small subunit ribosomal RNA", at positions 59 to 350 of the family's 1533-position model. The record is from RNAcentral. Lineage: Bacteria; Pseudomonadati; Pseudomonadota; Alphaproteobacteria; Hyphomicrobiales; Nitrobacteraceae.
GGAACGAAGCUGGUCCAGGCUUAAAGAAAAAGUCGAGCGGGCGUAGCAUCGUCAGCGGCAGACUUGUCCGUACGCGUGGGAAAUACCUUUUGGUUCGGAACAACCAGGGAAACUUGUGCUAAUACCGGAUAAGCCCUUACGGGGAAAGAUUUAUCGCCGAAAGAUCGGCCCGCGUCUGAUUAGCUAGUUGGUGAGGUAAUGGCUCACCAAGGCGACGAUCAUAGCUGGUCUGAGAGGAUGAUCAGCCACAUUGGGACUGAGACACGGCCCAAACUCCUACGGGAGGCAGCAGUGGG